GGCCCCUCAGCCACUUGCCCUCUUCGCCGUCUCUCCAGCUUGUUCUCCUGGCCGGCAAUCAAGGCAGCAGACAAGCUGCAAAGAGCUCCUUUUCUCCCGCCUCUCAGCUGAUCGGCGGGUGGGCGGGGCUUCCACGGAGGCCUCCGUGUAGGCCUCUGUGAAGCCUGAACUCCAGUAGGGCCCAAGCCAGCCAGGAAGGAGGCAGCCAGAGAGGCCUCCACUGUUCUCUGCAGCAGAAGACCCCCUGCUGCCAGGCUUUUGCCCCAGCCCCCAGCUGCAAUCUGAAGACUGAAGAAAGAGAAGGAGAUUGAAGAAGAAAGAGUAGACUCAGAAACUAGACCACAGAAGUGGACAACUGGACACACAACAUGGGUGAAGCCCUAGACUGAGUGAGUAUCCAUUUUCUCUCUCUCAAACACACACCCCUAUGGAAUUGUGUAUACUUGGGACUUUUUUCCUAUUUGGAGGGAGGUUUGGGGUUGCAAUUGAAUUUAAAAAGAUGUGUGUUGUUUAGUUUAGAAGAGGUUUAAACAGGGGUUCUGUCUGUGGGAGGGAUCUCCAUUAGCUAGUACUAGUAGGUGGUUAGAAGGGUAGUGUAGCCUCAUGGUUUUAAAAAACAAUUCUGCCUUUCCCCCCAUUCCCUAUAUAUAUCUAUAUCUAUAUCUAUAUCUAUAUCUAUAUCUAUAUCUAUAUCUAUAUCUAUAUAUACACACACACACACACACACAGAGAGAGAGAGAGAGAGAGAGAAACCUGUCCUCCAGCCCUCUGUGCCUAUAAUAUAUCAGUAUGAAUAUUCUCUGCCCAGCAGCCUACGGGCUCUGAGUGGGCAGGAAGGCACAGACUCUAGCCUCCUCCCUGCACCCAUUUACCCCCCCCACACACACACACCCCAACUGCAGCAUUCUGAGGCCAUGGCAAAAAUUAGAGUGGAUUCAUUGUUUGUCAUUGAAAAUGAAUCCAUUCUCAUUUGCUACCAGAGAAUCUACCUCAGAAACAACAAAACCUAGUACCCCAUGGGCUUGUGGGUAUGGGGGUGGUUGGCACCCUAUGUGCACAACACCACCACUCACUCUGGGCCACCUCAGUGCCCCGGAAGUGGAGUUAUGGGGCUGCUGAAAUCCCCAUUAUUCCCUAUGGGGAAAGAGCUUAAAGACACACAAACUUUACAAAUUAUUUAAAAUUUUCACCAAUUCCUUUCACCCUUUCACCAAUUCCUUUGAAAUCUGGAUGGUAGCAUGCACUCACUGGGGCACUACCACCUGACCCACUCUUCUGCCCCCAAAACCCCAUUUCUGCCCCGAAUCAUCCCCCAAAGUUAUGCCAACUACAAAACUCCUUUAAAAAACAGCCCUUUGCCAAAUUCCUUUGAAAUCUGGGUGGUAGCUUCCUUGCACCCAUUGGGCAUUACCACCCAACACAACCUGCUAUGGGCCACCCUGGUGCCACUGCCCUGGGGGAAUUAUAAUUAAGGCUGCUGAAAUUCCCAUUAUUCCCUAUGGAAAAAAGCUUAAAGACACGUAAACUUCAAAAGUCAUUUAAAAUUCAGCCCUUUGCCCAAUUCAUUUAAAAUAUGGGUGGUAGCUUCCUUGCACCCAUUGGGCACUACCACCCACCACACCCCACUCUGAGCCACCCUGGUGCCCCCCACAUGGAGCUAUAGGGUUGUUUAAACCCCCAUUAUUCCCUAUGGGGAAAUCUUAAAGAUGUGUAAACUUAAAAAUAUAUAUAUCAUUCCUUUGCCCAAUUUCUUUUAAAUUUGGGUGGUAGCUUCCACCCAUUGGGCACUACCCCCUCUCUUUUGGCCCCAGGACCCUUUUUUGAUCCAAAUCAGAUUUGUAUUCAAUACAUAUCAAAUCUGGGGUGAUUCAGGGGUGUCAGAUUUGGACCCAAAACAAAUUGGGGUUGUUUCGAUUUGGGUACAAAUGGAAACAAAAUUGAUUCAUGCACAUCCCUAUUUGCCUGUGGGCUUUAAGUUAUGUACAGUUCUCAGGCUCAAGCAUCCUCCUCCAAAUGACAUGUACUGUAGCUUAUAACCUUAACCUUCAAUGUGAAGGGAGAUCUGUCUGUAUAAACAUGCCUAUGCAAAUAAGUUGUUUGUUUUGUAUUAGGGUACAGUAAAUUAGAUAUUUUACCUCAGAGAAAAUAUAGACCAGUUAAACCUGAUAAAACUCUCAAAUUGGGACAAUAUUAUAGUUUCUGCAUACAAUUUGUCAUAAUAUCUAUUCCGUCUAGUUUUGUGUUUUGUUUUGUUUUUUACUACAGGAAAAAUGUUCUUUGAUUUAGGAGUAGCAAUAUUACUGAAGUGCUCUUUCCCCUUUUGUUUUUUAUGUUUUCCUGUCACCACAUUGACCGACUACUAAAAGGCAAAUAAUAGUACUGUGUAGACCUUAGAGUAAGGGAUUCAUAGGAAUGUUCAAACAACUUCUGAAAGCCAGGAAACUAAGUGAAACCACCUGGAUAGCAAUGCAAACUGUGCUCUAUUAAUACCAAACUACUUACUGUGGACUCCCUGCUGAAAUCAUAUGAGGACCGGUGACUGAGAUAAUAUGUAUGAUGUGCUUUCUUCUUGUUGUUAUAACGGUUGUUGCUGAUAUUACCAUCCGCAUCAUCUGAAAAUCACCAUUAACGCAGGCUCUGAGCAGACAGAGCAUGGCAGAGGCAAUCCUAGCUUGUAUCAGAUAACUGAGGGGGGAAAUGCAUUCCUGUGCAAUGGCAACCACUCCAAAAAAAACUCAGCAUGAUAAUAACUUGCAGAUAUUGGAGUAGUUAUGAACCAAGCUCAUGGGAGGAAUUCCAUCACCAAUUGUGUUUUCCCAGUCCUACGCAACGGAUUUCCAUGGAAAAUCUGCCGGGUGAAAAAAAAGGAGCAACCUUCGGGACUUUGGGGUAAAUCUAGCCGAUAUGUGAAUGCACCCCCUCCAUUCCAGAGAAGAUGUGAGUUUCCAAAAGCCCUGUGUGAAAAGCUUCCAGGAGGGUUGUCUUCAUCAGAAGAGAGACAGACAGGGUGAAUACUUUCCUGUUCAUCUGGUUGGAUUCAGCAUCAGCUUGCAGUACAGUAGACUGCUUUAUUCUUUUGGAUCACCUUGUACAUCUAGUGAGUGUCUUGAAGAGCAUGUUUUGUUAUGCGUUUUUGUUUGUUUGAAAGGACUCACACCAAGGUUAUGUCAGCCUCCUGGAGGCUACUGCAGUUCUCUGGGAUUUGUUGUUAUCACCAGUGUUGCUCAAUAUCUGUAUAAAGCUUCCAAUCACCAGUAUGUUUGGGGCAGGGUGUCAUUAGGGUGUCAGGACUGGGGAGACUCAGGUUCAAAUCCCCAUUCAGCCAUGAGACUUGCUGAAUGACUCUGGGCCAGUCACUUCUCUCUCAGCCUAACCUACUUCACAGGGUUGUUGUGAGGAGAAACCUAAGUAUGUAGUACACCACUCUGGGCUCCUUGGAGGAAGAGCAGGAUAUAAAAUGUAAAAAUAAAUAAAUAAAUAAAUAAAUAAAUAAAUAAAGGGCUGGCCCGUAGCGCAUGGGCCCCCAGUGAAUUGCUCAGAGCACUGGAUGUCAUCAGCCAGCUCCCCACUCCAUGACCUUCCAGAAUGGAAGUGCAGCAGUGGCAGCACCUGCACACAGCAUGGGAGAGAGCUCCUAGUAGCCUUACCUAGGUCUUUGCUGCUUCUACCUUCAUAGAUGCUGCAUUCUAAUAUUAGAGAUGUUUAAAAGAAUAUGUAAUUAUUUUUGUGGAUGGGUGCAAUUGAGUUUAAUGAUCAAAAGUGGGGCUGUGGGCCCGGCCCUGGAUCUUUUAAGCACCUAGCAAUAUCCCUGGUUUGGGGUUCAGUGUCAUCAAUAUUCAGAUGCCAUCCAGGUCUGUUUGUCUUUAGCUAAGCAUCCAGCAGCAUCUAUUUCUGUCCUGAGCCAGUAUUUGGAAAUUGUGAUCAAUGGAUAAGGGAGGACAGAUCAAAGCUGAAUUCAGACAAGAUGGAAGUGAUGACAGUAGGGAACAGCCAUACCCUGAAAGAGAUACAUCUGCCUUAUCUGAUCAGGAGCACUUUUUAAAAUCUACAGUUAGUACAGCUGUUCUGUCCCCUCAAGGACAGGUCACACCCUGCUUUGUGGUUCAUGGUUCUGUAAUGUCCAAGCUUGCUUCUGGUAAUGUGCUUUAUAUGAAGAUUACCUUGAAGAUGUCAUGGGAGCUUCAUCUGAUGCAGAACACUGCUGCUUCUCUCCUAACAGCUACUGAAAAGGAUUCCCAUCCUGUGCACCUCUCCCCAUAUUUAACUGCAACCAGAAGCGCUCUUAAGUCCAGGGCCUCCACAGCCCCUGGGGGGCCCCAUAUACUCUUUCGUCUGUCCCGGGUAUUGUGGUUGGCUGGUGGAGCAUGAUGAUACUUAAUUUGUAGGGGAGGGGGCCCCUCCAAAAGCCUUUAGGUCCAGACUUCAAAAUUACCUAGGUGUACCUCUGCCUGCAACUGAGGUCAUCUAAAUUAAUUGCCAACUGAGGUUAGGCAACUAGUUUUGCUGGCCCUUGUGGCACUUUCCUGGGAAGGUCAAAAGAAGAGCUAUCACUUUAUUGAAUUUUGGGAGGUGUUCUAAAACCAACCCUUUCCAUCAGGUUUUUGGCUGACCUGUGCCUUUUCUGUGAUGGCUUAUGAAUACAAAUAUGAUAAGUAUCCAUAUACCGCUUUUCAACAAAAGUUCCCAAAGCAUUUUACAUAGAUAUAAAUUUAAAAAAUAAAUAAAAUGGCUGCCUGUCUCCAAAGGGCUCACAAUCUAAAAAAGAAACACGACAGACACCAGCAACGGCCACUGGAGGGAUCCUGUGCUGGGGUUGGAUAGGGCCAGUUACUCUCCCCCUGCUAAAUAAAGAGAAUCACCACUUUUAAAAGGUGCCUUUUUGCUAGUUAGUUCUCUUGCUGUGUUUAUGGUUGUGUUUUAUUAUUUUAGUCUUAAUGUUGUUAAGACAUUAAUGCUUUGAAUUUCCUCUACGAGUGGUAUGAAAGUGCUUUUAAAAUAAAUAAAGAAGCCCUCAAGAACAUAUUUGAAACAGUCCCUAUGUACUUUUUCCAGUUUUGUGAGAACAGUAACGACUCAUAAUAUAAUCAGAUCAAGGGAAUUACUUGAUAGAUGAAUCUUCAUUCUAAUUAGGCUAUUCUCAGAGUUUCCAAGCACUGGUUCUGGGCAAGCAUUCCUUGACAGAGGAAGGGCAAAAACACUUGUACAAUAUACUUAUUCACAAGCCUCUGCCAUCUGGAUAUAUAGGUUCAAAUCAGGUCACAGAUGGGCUGAAUGAACGUUAGUAUUCAGUGCCUCUUUCUGGUCUCCCAUAUACUUUCAGGAUAGCACCAGUGACCUACAAAGAUACGAUCCUCCAGUUCACUUGUGUCUGAUUGUGAUAGUGGUUUUCCAGAAAGGAAUGCUCACCCUCAGCAGGGACAGGGCAUUUAAAUUCUGCUCAGUGCCAUGCCAUUCAAGCCCUUCUUCUGACAGUGAUUGCACCGCCACCAUCAUAAAAGCCCCGAAACAAAUCAAUCUCAUGUAAGUACAAUUUCUAGUUGGAGGGAGAUGCUGAGGGGCACCGUUUUGCUUGCUGUUACUCAGGAAAGGGAAGGGAACAUGAUGCCUUCCUAAGAAGGCAAAAUAUCCUGGGGCCUGGCCCAUUGUGACCAAGGAUGCUCUUGUGGUGCGAAGGAUGCCAUGGCAAAGCAGUCCAUGGAUACCAAACCACACUCUUGCACUCUCAUGAGAGGGCCAGUCUACUGGGGAGGACCUUAGGCUUGCCAGCCAUUGGGCUUCCAUCAGACUGUGUGCUCAU
Hemicordylus capensis (graceful crag lizard) is the source of this 5797-nucleotide long non-coding RNA. RefSeq lists it as uncharacterized. The record is from RefSeq and is a predicted model, not a curated record. The transcript is spliced from 4 exons. NCBI's taxonomy places the organism in Eukaryota, Metazoa, Chordata, Lepidosauria, Squamata, Cordylidae.